Molecule: long non-coding RNA, 7323 nt
Organism: Pseudopipra pipra
Lineage: Eukaryota; Metazoa; Chordata; Aves; Passeriformes; Pipridae
Exons: 3
Source: RefSeq, a predicted model, not a curated record
GGAUCUUUGCUGAGAAAAGCAUAAUUUACCUUGAACUCUCUCAGUACUGUGUGGUACUGUGACAGAGAGGGCUGCUAAUGAUGCAAAACCCUGCCCACAGCCUUGAUCUUUACAAGUUGGCUGCAUGCACACACAUGUGAAAUGCUGCUUCAGCUGUUUUUUUAACGAGAGGAGGGAACCCAAGAAUGAAGAGGGCUCACUUGCACACCCCUCUGCCAACCUGCUGCUUUGUGAGACCUGAAGGCUACUGCAGAGCAUUGGAGUCGGAUACAAAACCACUUGGAGUGCAUCCCUCAUCGCCAGACAGAUCCUGCAGGAAACCAAUCCCUGAGACCACAAGAUGAAGCCCAGAGGCAGCUCACCAUGACCUUGCUCUCAGUGGUAUCUUCAAGAACAACUCUAAAAGGUGAAAGCUCUCAUGGUGCCUCAGUGCUGAAGUGGCAGGCAAACAUGGAGUGGUUGCUGCACCACCUCAGAGCCUGAACUCGCUAGUGCAGGAAAUGACUUUGCAGUGCCUGCCCUGCGCCACCACGGCUUCAACAAAAGGCCUGAGCAAUGUCGGCAGAGGAUGUAACUGGGGGAAACGUGCUCUGAGAAAUGUUCUUAUAUAUAGCAGAGAGGAAAGGAAUAGAGAAGUAAGAAAAAGACUGCGCUGUGGUUUUUAGGCUGCCAUUGCCCAACUGCCUUUGCACCGUGAGGUCCUCCUGCCAUGUGCCCUGUUCCUUCAUCGGGGGUGUGGAAGACAAGUAAUGCCGAUGCUUUACAGGAAUAACCUCUGAACCACACUACAGCAGCUUCAUCUUCAAGAAACAAAGUAAGAAAAAGGAUAAAUAAGUCCAGUACAGCACAGUUUCCUGCACUGCUAAGAUCUGUGAGUGUUCCAGCACAUGGGCUUGGGCACUACCAUGGGUCUGGCCCAUCGUAGCAGGAGAGAUCCACCUAGACCAGGUCAGCCAGAGAGCCAUUGUGAAGGGAAAGCAAACUUUAAAAGUAAAUGGGAUGAGUCAUGUUGCCUGUUGGCAUAAAUGCAAAACAUUUAGGAGCAGGAAGUGUCUUUGUUUUUGUGCACGGGAAUGUGCUUCGGGUCAGGUUAUCACUGAGGUGCAUUUCUGGCCAGCAAAAUAAGGGCUUGCUCCAGCAGCAAGACCAUCCCGCCUGUCAAGGAGAAGCAAUUUCAUGCAGUUCAGUGUCAGGUACCCAAGUCUUUGCUCUUUGUAUUUAACACUGUAUUUAACAACAUUGAAUCUGAAACCAGAAUCCUGCCACCUACUGCUCAUGGAAAUUCCAGAUGUGUUGUGUGCACAGCGGUCUCAACCCUAAAAACCUUAAAAACCCCAAAAACCUCAUCAAAGCUCUCCGGGACUGGUCAGCUCUGCACAGGCUGGAAAAAAUAUCUGUGAGCCAUCUCAACUGCCCUAUUGGGACCUUGAGCUGAUGUAACGAUGUCUGUGGCAGUGCUGGCUUUCUUGGAGAACAAAGUGCUGUUUCCUUUUGUGUGCUGAACAAACAAACAGUGUGUGGGAAUUGGUCCCAACAGAAAUACUUUUUUUUUUUUUUAAAUAUCCAAGUAACUUUUUUUCAGAACACUGACCUGUUUAUUGCUUGGGAAUGCCUGUGACUGCCUUCUGAAACUCAAAAAACUGCAGAGGUGUCCAUGGCAAGAAUAGAAGACUAUUGCAAUAAUACAAGGGAUGGUUCUGCAGUUAAAAUUAAGCACAGAAGUGUCUGAAAACUGUCAGUCUGCCUAGUGCCAGAAUUCAUUAUGAAUUUGGUUUUUAAUAUAGUUUAGGCUAGAAAUCAUGCUAAUUAUCUUUUCUCCUUUAAUUAAAUAAGAAGUCUGCCAUUAGCCUCUGCUUCCCAUAACUCAUGUUUUGGAUUGAGCUUCUCAUGCCUGGGAAAUGGGAGAACUGGAGAGAAACUGGGGAGAGAGACAAAGACGAGACUCUGAACUAUGUAACUAUCUUUGCUGCUUAUCUGUCUCCAGGUACUGGCUCAGUGAAACUUCCCACAUUAACAGUGUCUUUCAGCUCUUCUGUUCCAGCUGUCAGCUGCCCACUGCUUAACCAAGAAUUUGGAGGCAAAUUUCUUGCUGUCUUAUAAAUAGUCCACAUUUAAAGCCGUGGCCAGAGUAUACAUAGAUAGACUUUAAAUCUAGGGAAGGAAGGUAAGAGAGAUUUGUGGAGAUGAGGGAGGUGUAGUCUUGUGUAUGCAAAUUCUGCCUUGAAGCAUUUUGAUUCAUGUAGUAAAAUUGCUUCUAACAAAAUUAACUUUAUGUGGAUAUUGUUUGAAACAAGAAUUUCAAAUGUUAAGCAAUGAACAAUGCUACGGAAGGAUCACACAUACACUGAAGCUCUGCCCUAAUACUUGUUAUUUAUACUUCUGAAAACAACUUGAUGCAUAUAUGCUAGUUUGGUUUUUAGAAAUCUGAAUCAGUUUAAACCCUCUGUCUUCAUAAACCACAGUGGAAAAAUUAGGUAUGUGUAUAUAUUUUAAAAUGUUAUUAGAAAUAUAGACAUUGAGGUUCAAAGAGUUAAUUAAUAUUUAAAUUACUAUAUUUUAAAAAAUAAUAAACAAGACUAGUUGAACAGGUUUAAUAAGAGAAGAAGUCAAUUUAGUUGAAAGUAGAUAUACAGUGAUAGCAGCUCCUAAAGCCAAAAUACGUGAGCUCAUCUUUUGCUAGAUGCAUCAAGCUGAUUUCUUCAUUUAUCACUUCUGGUUUAGGCCUAAAUGUUUUGAGUAAUUACAUUUUUUUUUGUAGAAUAAGAUGAGAGGUGUGAGGAUAGCAGUAGCCCCAAAUACAAGAGAAAAUGAGUGCGACAUCAAAUAAAAUAAUUUCUUUGGUGUCUGUACUCACAUAAGAAAUCUAUCAUUUAUUCUAUAUAUCCCAGUGUUGGAAUUAUUUGUUACAAAUAGUUGUCCAAAUUUACCCAAAUUAUUUUCCCAGAAGUACAGUGCUUUCCCUCUUUUAAAAUUCAAUUAAAAAUAUUGCAGUGAAUUUUUAAUACCAUUUAGAAAACUGGAUGUGGGUGCAAUAUUCUGCCUUGAUGCAGGGCCUCACAUGCCACUGGCCUGGCCCAGUCAGCAGCCUCACUGCUCAUUCCUGCCUUGCUCCACACUGGUGGCUCCGAUGCUUGUUCCCUCCAGACCAGCAGCCUGUGGCCCUCUUCAGCUCAUUUUAAAAAGCCACUUCAAUAUUAGUUUCAUCUACUGCAGGGAGUUGUGCAAUCUGCCAGCCACAGGGACAAAAAUCAUGCAUUGGUUGCAAAACUAAUGCUGGAGAGUUAAUAUUUUUUUCACUCUUUAUAUAUAUACAUAUUUGUAUGUAUAUUAAAUAUACACAUGUGUGGACACACACAUAUACACGUAUACUUGUUUGUGUUGACACUUCAAAGCCUUUGGGUUCUAUCUGUUUUGCAUUUGCCAAGGCUUUUGUUGCUGUUUUUUUCCCAGGUACCAGAGUGUCUUAAUGAUUUAGGGAUGUAACAUUGUGCUAUAUGUGGGAAUUGAGGCCAAGCUUCUCUCUUCAUCCAGGGCAGGCUGUCACGCAGGAACCAGGAGAAGGUAUAUUCUGUCCCUCCCAUCCUGUGGGGAUCCCAGAUGGCUGCUGUGUCAGCUGAAGUCACUCUCUGCUCUGUAACCUCUUCCUGAAGACUAGAGGAUACAGGUUCAACAGCCGGAAGCCUUCUGGGAAACUGCUUGAGAAUCAGCAGGUACCCAGGAGGUGCAAGCGGCUUUUCUUUGUAUUUAAAGUAAUACAUUUAAAGUGUAAAGUUUUCUAUCUUCCUCUAAAUUAAAGCCACUUUCUGUUUUAACAUUUACAACUCUUUCAAGCACAUACCUCUGCCACAUACAAAUGUAUUUGUCCUAGAAAUCCUUAUGUGUUUUCCAUAAGCCUUCAGAAAAUCAACUGUUCCAAGGGCUUAACGCUGGAGUAAUUUAACAGCCGUGCUGCAAAAAUGGCAAGGUAAGCAGCCCAGCAGAAGAUACAGUAGCCAAAACUCUUAUCUCAGGACCCAUUGCUCGGAGAAUUGCAUCAACUUCCCCUAGUAAAUAAUGAGUCUUAUUUAUAAAUUCACAUACAAUACAGAAAGGAAGCUUGUUGCACUAUUGUGGAGAUCAAAGAUUCAACGUGGGGUUUUUCCUCCUUCUCCUGUUUGGAGAACUAAAGUCAGUUUGUAUGUAUCUGUGUCCUUCUUCUUAUUGCUGAGCCCAGCACAGUUGAUAGCCUUGAGUAUUUUUUUAAAGCUGUUUCUAAAGAUAAACAUUUUGCAAAAAUUCCCAGAAUGCAAGUGCUCAACUUAAUUUGCCCAGAGCUGUACUGUUUGUUGGCAGGCUGUUCCUUUACAGGGGGUUUUAAGUUCCAACUCGAUGUAUCACAUAUUAAUACACAAUCAGAAACUUUUUCUGUGGUCGAGGGUGAAAUCCCUGCCUUACUGAGGUCCAAAGAAACAAAACUUUUAUUGAUUUAGUUCAAUAAUAUUCAGAGGCUAAUCCCAAAUCUCUCGCUCCUUUAUUAAGAACGAUUCUAUCACUGAAAAAAUAUGAACAAAGUUAUAUAGCCUAAUCAAAACAAUCCCCAAAGUGCCUGAGCACACUAACAACAGCUUUAAAACUUGGAUUGUCAUUAGUUUUUCAGUGUCAGUUUGAGAGGCAGAGAGGAGAUAUUUUUUGUUAGCAUGCAGAACUCAGUCUGCCUUCUCUUUCAGGUUAUACUUUUUGAUGUGACAGACAACACACAGGUUCAUCACCACCUUCUUGGCUGCAGCAGGUAAUUUGCUCAGCUCCAUGUGUCAUGAUGACAGCUACCAGACAAGAAUUUUCUUCCUCUCAUGCAAACAGUAGAUGUAUUUUCACUGGACAGGCUGGGAUGUUUUGAUCAAAUAUAAUACUAGAGAGAAAGAGAAAGAGAAAGCAUAUGGGGUGUGCAUACAUAUACACAAAAGUCUAUGUAGUAUAUACACAUACACACCCAUUUAUAUAUACACACACAUCUAUGCAUAAAGGGGUUGCUUAACAGCCAGUAAAAAAUGCCACCUUGCUAUGAGUCUGAUGGGUGUUUUCUUCCACAGAAGCAAAGCGCUAAUCAGGAGAGGAAACAGGAGCUGAAUUACCCCACCCACCUCCAUAGCCCCUGCUAAAGCCAUUUAUCACAAUGUUUCUCAACCUUCUUGAGUUGGCAGCUUUUUAGGACUUGUUUUUGCAACCUUUCACAAAACCUAUUAAAAAUGGUAUAAUAACAAAGUAACAAUAAUACUUGUCUUAAGCACAGGUGUGGUAGGGACACAUGGGAGUUCCCCAGACAGCCAUGGGCUGUCAGAUCUGGCUCCCGGACAGAAAAAGAUUAACUUUGACCAGAAAUGUUGUAAGUAUUCCAGAGCAAAACAAAUUUAGGGGAGUUCAUGGCCAGCACUGUGCAGUGUGUUAAGGUUGUAUUUCCUGAAUAUUGAUUUCGUCAAUUUAAAGUGAGUUACAUUCGAUGAAAGAUAGGUACUGGUAUCAGAAUUGUCAUCUUUUAAUAUUUAUAUUUAAAAAAAUUAAAAUCUCCGUCUUAUUACAUCAGAAGAAAUAAGAGAUGGACAGAAACGGUGUGAAAAUGACUGUAAGAAUUUUUUUUGCCUAGUCAAUGGAAUUUUAGUUCAUUAUUUGGUCUCUAAAUGCUAUUGGAACAAGAACACUUCUGAGAUGAUUUUAUUUGUCAGCCACAAACAUUUUCAGGUAAAAUCAAAAAUAGGAGGACAAAAAAUGCAAGAUAGAUAUUGAAUAUGCAAAUAUUAUUAAGCAACUAUACAAAAUAAAGGUAGAAGGAUUUAGAGUAAAAUUUAAUGUUUCAAGAAGUAUCUGCAGAUCAUUAACUAAAAAAAGAGGCUAGCUAUAACCUGAAUUUAAUUCCAUAGACUUGACUUAUCUGAGGACUACUGUGAAACCUGUUUUCAUAGGGUGUUGAGAAAGCACACAGUUAUGUGUGUCCAGAUGAGUUAGCUUAAAUAUCAGGACACAUAAUAAUGCCAGCAAUUCGUAAUAUCACAGGCACCAACUGUUAAUAACCAACUGGUUAAUAACAAUGUAGGGUACUCCAAUGGUCACCAAUUCUGAACUGUAAGUCUUGGGAUAUUAACUAGAGUUAAUAUACCAUUGGGAUUUUUUAAAAAUAUAUUUUAUUAAAUUAAAGGUAUUUUAAUAUCCUGAAAUACUAAACUCAGUGCCUCCAGAGGCAGAAAUUCAGAACCUCCAGAGGGGUUCAUUGUUUGGAGAGAGUUCCUCUGUAAAGUCAACCUGUUCUGCCAAGGCCAGACAGUACAACUGAACUCCCUGGGACUACUUAAGUAACACCAACAAGCAAGCACAAACUGUAGGACUAUCCCUGGCUGUCACUUAGAGCUGCUUGAGACAUCAGUCCUAUAGAAAACCCCAGAUUCCCCUUGGAUAUACUCAGAUUUUACAGAGUGUAGACAAUAUUAUUCAUAUUGAAAUUUUACUUCACCAGCUACUUAUAUUUUCCCUUAAGCUUAAGCAAAUUUUAGUGCAAUUUUUACUCCUCUCCUGAGGAGACUUCAGAACCAUAACUUACACCUGAUGAAAUUUUUCCUGGCCCUUGCUGGAGAAGAGUGAAAUGAUCCCAUUUUUGGUUAUCGUGUUGUUUUCCACCAUUCUCCUGAGUCUUGUCAUAGCUAACACUCACUUCCCACUGCUUUUUGAAUGGCUUCCUCCCAAACCCCUGCCCCGUUCUCUGCCUUCAGCUGAAGAGCAUUUUGGAGACAGGAAUCAGAGAAGGAAAGGUGUUUUUCUCCUCUGGAAGAGUCACUGUCUCUGAAAGUGUCUCUGGAUAUGGUACUUGGGGAUACAGUUUAGGAGGAUUAUUGUGGUGCUGGGGUGAUAGUUGGACUAGAUGAUCUUGAAGGUCUUGUCCAACCCUGAUGAUUCUGUUAUUCUCAUUAAAAUGAAAGCCUAGAGAAUUAUUUUCUCAGUUUUAUGUUGUGAGAUUGAGAUGUUUUAUGUAGAUAUAGGCAAAUUUCAAACACUGGAAACCUAACUUGCAGCAGUGCACAGGUAAUAUCAUUUUGAUGGUCAUGGUCCUGACUGGAUUUCCUAUUUGUCCCAUUUAUUAGUUGUCCUGUGGUGGUCCCAUAAAUAUUUCUGAAAUAAUCUCUCAAGUGUAUACCAGUUAUAACCGGUAGAAUUGCAAUAAACAGUUCUUAAUGGCCCAGUAGGUUUCUAAUCCAGGUUCAGUAAGCAAUUCCAAACCAAAACCAUUUCUCUGAAAGCAACUUUAUUCUCUAAAUGAGAUUUCAACUGAAAACCUUCAUGUUUAAGCAUAUUAAUUGU